This 75-nucleotide transfer RNA is filed under the name Pseudomonadales bacterium. RNAcentral describes it as "tRNA-Gln". It matches the Rfam family "tRNA". Rfam says of the family: Transfer RNA (tRNA) molecules are approximately 80 nucleotides in length. Lineage: Bacteria; Pseudomonadati; Pseudomonadota; Gammaproteobacteria; Pseudomonadales. The record is from RNAcentral. RNAcentral also lists the same sequence under 2 other names.
UGGGGCGUCGCCAAGCGGUAAGGCACCGGGUUUUGAUCCCGGCAUACGCAGGUUCGAAUCCUGCCGCCCCAGCCA